This 380-nucleotide ribosomal RNA is filed under the name uncultured prokaryote. RNAcentral's name for it is "bacterial SSU rRNA". It matches the Rfam family "Archaeal small subunit ribosomal RNA", at positions 341 to 725 of the family's 1478-position model. The record is from RNAcentral.
GCGAAAACUUUACAAUGCGGGAAACCGUGAUAGGGGAACUCCGAGUGCCCGUUAAAUCGGGCUGUCCACCAGUUUAAAUAACUGGUGAAGAAAGGGCCGGGCAAGACCGGUGCCAGCCGCCGCGGUAAUACCGGCGGCUCGAGUGGUGGCCACUAUUACUGGGCUUAAAGCGUUCGUAGCUGGUUUGUUAAGUCUCUGGGGAAAUCUUCCGGCUUAACCGGAAGGCGUCUCAGGGAUACUGGCAGACUAGGGACCGGGAGAGGUGAGGGGUACUCCAGGGGUAGGAGUGAAAUCCUGUAAUCCUUGGGGGACCACCUGUGGCGAAGGCGCCUCACCAGAACGGCUCCGACAGUGAGGGACGAAAGCUGGGGGAGCAAACC